AUGAAUGACAACGAAGGGCUUGGAGGAAUUCUGCGCCUCUGUCCUAUUGGAACGCAAUUGACUCCCAAGGACAGAUCUUUGCAGCCUCGGACCAUUUCUGCUCCUCACCAUCUGGGGGCACUGCCAGGCUCUCCCGAGAGUCUGAAAUGUCUCAAAGUCGGGCUGCUGCGACUCCUCUCGGCGCUGGAGAAGGACGCCGGCGGAGGGGAGGUGCAGUGCGGUCCUCCCGCCGGAAGAGGGCGCCGCGGCGAGGCGGCCCUAGGCGCAGGCGCCGGCGUGCCCCUCUCCCGGCCGCACGCGCUCCUUGACCCCGCGCCGCCGCGCGCCCUGCGGACUCGGCGUAGGGGUUGGCGCCGGUUCGGGUCCGGCCGUCGCGGGCUUACGCCGAGUGCGCCCUGCCCGCCCUCUCCGCGGCGCCCCGGCCCCCGUGCGCCGCCGCGGCCCAUGGGGAGAGUCGGCCGGGCAGGCCGGUGACUCAAGCUCAACGUGACAAUGGGUUGCCAAGCUCCUGAAUAAAACGUUCACUUUGUCUGGCA
This 536-nucleotide long non-coding RNA is filed under the name Felis catus (domestic cat). Its description in RNAcentral is "lncRNA (ENSFCAG00000048740.1)". The record is from RNAcentral. Lineage: Eukaryota; Metazoa; Chordata; Mammalia; Carnivora; Felidae.